UUGGCGGCCGCCCUGGCCCCCCGGAGGCCCGGGGCGGAGGCCGGGCCUUCCUCACGCCCAGCCACCUGCUCGGCCGGCGGGCAGCGGCCUGCGAGUGCGGGAGCCUGGCCCCUUUAUAUACCGGGUUAUUUUUAACCGGCGGCCGCAGGAAGCCCUGCUUGGCCCGUUUCCUGCCGCGGAGGCCGGAGGCCGAGAGCCGAGAGCAACAGCCGGGACUGAGCGGCUCGGGCAGAGCCGGGUCCCUCCAGCCCUGAAGGGGCCCGUCACAGCCGCGGGCCCAGGACCCAGGACACCCGCCCGUCCCCCAGGCUGGACCCGCGCCAGGUCCGUCCCCAGGUGGAAGGAGGGGGUCCCCUCCCCAAGAAGGACCCAGGAUGUGUCUCGGGGCUGGAUUUUGGGGGGAAGGAAAGCCUCUUUGUGUUCCUGAGUGUGACCCAGACCACGGUGACGGCAUUUCCCAGGUUCCAGGGAGCCCCCGGUCCCCUCCGCUCUGACGCCCUCAUGGUCCCCAGGACCUCGGAGGGACGCCUGAGGCCCUGACCUACCCGGGCCCAGAGUCCCAGCCUGGGGACCGUCACUGCCUCCUGGCAAGAUGGCGUGGGACCCACCCAGGGAGCACCUUCCGCGGAGGGUGACGGGGCCUCGGGCCAGACACUCCCCCCAAAUCAUGGAGGCCAGCCAAAUGACGUGGCCAAAUGUCCCCUGGGGUGCAGGGCUGUCCCCAGGGGGAACGCAGGUGGACGUCUCUGGGGAGUGGACAAGAUCCCCUCCGAGGCACAAAGGAGACUCGGAAACGGGUGACCCCAAGGAGGGGCCACAGCAGCAAUCGGAGAGACGGGGCCCAAGAAGGGGACAUGAGGGUCCCCUGUCCUUGGCACAGAAGCGGGGCCCGGCUGGGUUUGGCCCCGUCAUCUUGAACCAGGGACUGGGGACAGGUCCUCCCCCCCCAGCCUCAGUUUCCCCAUCUCCUACGGGGGACAGGGCCCUGCCAAGGGGACACUGGGGCUGUCAUCAGAUGUGGGCAGCAGCCCCGAGGGUUUUCCCGUGGUGGCCCCAGGCUGGUCCGUGGGGAGCCAGGUGGGGACCCGUCCCAAGUUCCCAGGGUCCCCGCUGCUUCCCGGAGGGACACAUCAGCAUCCAUCCCCAGGAGAAGGGAAGAGGCUGGAGGGAGCCUCCACGGAGGCCAGCCUCCUCCUCCUCCUCCGCAGGCACAGAAACCACCAAUGGCUGUCCUGCCGGGUCACACUUCCAGGUGGCAGGUGACGCUCACAGUGACGAAGAUAACCUCUCCUUCGCUCAGGGAGGUCGCAGGAGGAGGGCAGCGAGCACCUGUACGGCGGCUUUUCAGCAGUUCUCCUGAGGGACAGUGUGACGCCUUCGCUCGCUUAAGCGCACGGUGACGUCCGUCUGUCUGCCCUGCGCUCCCGCUGCCACGGAGGGUUCUAGAACAUUUUUGUUGCCCCAACAGAAAGCCCACCCCAGCCACCACCCACCAGGACGGUGGCUUUUACAUUUUUAAUAGAUGAAAACUAUUAGAGGGAGAAUGAUCUGUUGUCACAUGUGAAGUGUCCCUGAGAUUCUGAUGUCAUACAGUUUCAUCGACACGA
Marmota monax (woodchuck) is the source of this 1607-nucleotide long non-coding RNA. RefSeq lists it as uncharacterized. The record is from RefSeq and is a predicted model, not a curated record. NCBI's taxonomy places the organism in Eukaryota, Metazoa, Chordata, Mammalia, Rodentia, Sciuridae. The transcript is spliced from 2 exons.